This 423-nucleotide ribosomal RNA is filed under the name uncultured prokaryote. RNAcentral describes it as "bacterial SSU rRNA". It matches the Rfam family "Bacterial small subunit ribosomal RNA", at positions 355 to 774 of the family's 1533-position model. The record is from RNAcentral.
UAAGGAAUAUUGGUCAAUGGACGCAAGUCUGAACCAGCCAUGCCGCGUGAAGGAAGACGGCCCUACGGGUUGUAAACUUCUUUUGUACGGGAAAAAACCAUCGGUCGUGCACCGGUGUUGAUGGUACCGUAAGAAUAAGCAUCGGCUAACUCCGUGCCAGCAGCCGCGGUAAUACGGAGGAUGCAAGCGUUAUACGGAUUCAUUGGGUUUAAAGGGUGCGCAGGCGGAAUGAGAAGUCAGUGGUGAAAUCCUACGGCUCAACGGUAGAACUGCCAUUGAUACGGUCGUUCGUGAGUACACUUGGAGUGGGCGGAAUGUGUCAUGUAGCGGUGAAAUGCUUAGAUAUGACACAGAACACCGAUCGCGAAGGCAGCUCACUAAGUUGUAACUGACGCUCAGGCACGAAAGCGUGGGGAUCAAACA